Molecule: long non-coding RNA, 2467 nt
Filed under: Ictidomys tridecemlineatus (thirteen-lined ground squirrel)
Lineage: Eukaryota; Metazoa; Chordata; Mammalia; Rodentia; Sciuridae
Description: lncRNA (ENSSTOG00000016300.3)
Source: RNAcentral
CUCUCACACCUCCCCAUCCUCCGGGCGGUGACGGGAAGCCCGGAAGGGGCGGGCACAAGGCUGUGGAGCGGUGGGGAGGGGCGUCCGCCGAAAGUGGCGGUUUACUUGAGGUGGUUUCCUUAGUGUCCAGUAUAGUUUGACUCUCCGGCCGAGCUCAGGACUCGUACUGCACCAGUGCUAUCUGGGCUGGAGUGGGCUCCCGCGUCCUCUGAAGCAGGCUUUUAUCUGUCCCAGAACUUGCGGGUUCAGCGUUUCUCUCCAUAUCCGGAUACCGAUUACGAAGUCACAGAUGCAAGGACGUAUGGCUCCCCUCAAGAAAUCUCAAAAUUCCACAAAGUUACCCCUGGCUUUAAACCCCACGAAGAGCAAGGACGUGUUAGCAGUGCUGGCUGAGAGGAAUCAAGCUGUAAUCCCAGUUGGGGUAUGGGUGGAACCUGCCUCCCCAAAUAGUUUGGAAAUCCCAGCAUCUACUUCAGCACAUAUGAUUGAAGAAGAACUAAAGGAACAACUACGAAAAAAACAAGAAGCUUUGAGACAUUUUCAGAGACAAGUCAAACACCGAGUCAAUCAACAAAUUAGACUGAAAAAACAGCAACAGCUUCAGAAGUCUUUUGAAGCAGCAGAAAAAGAAGGUUCUAUAGCCAUGCAAUCUUCAGAUCCAGCACACUUCACUCCUAAAGGGACAAGUAUUUUUCCAAGCAAUUUGAAUUCUGCAAUUGGAAGUUCUGGGUUACCUGCUUCCCAGAUGUUUGGGAGUGCAAUAAAAGAUGGAGAGAAUCAGAAUGAAUUAUUCCAACAACAAGCCCAAGCUCUUAGUCAAACCAUGAAACAAGUACGUCACCGGCUGGCAUCCCAUAAAACUGUGAGUAAAAAAAAGUCAUCAGUGUUUCCAGAUGGUAUGAGGAAAAGCUUUUCUAUCCAACAGGAAUCUGACAGUGAGGAAGUAUUAUCUAUUAUAACAAAUGAGAAAGGGAGAGACGAUUUAUUUUGGGGAGACAAGCAGAGUCUCUUUUCUGAAGACAAUGAUAAGCCUUUUAGCAGAGUUCAGAAAGUAAAAUUCAAAAAUCCAUUAUUUGUUGUCAUAGAAGAGAAAGAACAAAAGCAGUCACAUUUUCAGGGUCUUGAAGCCCAGGAUUAUCCUCUGGAAACCAAAGGUGAUUUGAUAGAAGUUCAGAGUAUUGAGCCUGAAAAGAGUAUUGAGCCAGAUGUCCAGGCUGUUGAUCUGGAAGUUCAAGCUAUUGAGCCAGAAUGCCAAGCCAUUGAAUCAGAAGUCCAGGCUUUUAAGACAGAAACUUGGAGUAUUAUGAUAAAAGCCAGUAGCACUGAGAUAGAAAAUAGGAAUAUUGAGUUAAAAGCACAGGAUUUUCUACCCAAAAACCAGGCCUUUCUGCCCAAAUGUGAGGACCAAGAUUCUCUACCCCAAAACCCCUAUGUUCUCCCUAAAGACCAGAAUAUUCUACCCAAAUAUCAGGACCAGAAUUUUCUGCAUAAAAACCAGGAUUUUCUACCCAGAGACCAGGAUAUUCUACCCAAAUGUCAGGACCAAGACUUUCUACCUGAUAAAGACCAGGAUUUUCUAUCUAGAAACCAGCAUGUGUUCCCUGAAGACCAGAAUAUUCUACACAAAUAUCAGGACCAAGAUUUUCUACAUGAUGACCAGGAUUUUCUAUGUAGAGACCAGUGUGUUCUUCCCAAAGACCAGAAUAUUCUUCUCAAAUGCCAGGACCAGGAUUUUCUCCCUAAAGAUCAGUACAUUCUCCUCUCAGAUGAGAAUCUUCUAUACAAAUGUCAGAAGCAGGAUAUUCCACUCAAAGAUCAGGAAAAAUAUAUCUGGCAGCCAUCAUUGGCUUUGACAGUUGAAAGAUGGAAAAAGGAGUGGCCUACAAGAACAGAAACAUAUCUUUCACAUAGGUUCCAAGGCCAGCCCUCUACUGGGGAUCAGUCAGAGAAAAAGGAGGAAGAGGAUCAACAGGAACACAGUAACUAUGGGCAAGCAUCACAUGAUAUGACAGAUGAGAAAUGGAGAAGAGAGUUGCUUCCAGAGUACCACAGAUAUGGUUUACAUAAAAUCCAGGAUCCUGGCUCUGCCAGAGAUCAGAGCUUAAACUUUAGGCAGCAGCCAUCUGUUGGAACAGCUGAAAGAUGCCAAGAAGACUUGCUUCUGAAUCACCAUCAGCAUCUUGCACCCAAGCAUCAGAGAGACACUUGCAGGAGACGACAGGUUUAUAAUGAUUAUCAGUCAGGACUAAGCAAUGAAUUCCAAACUCCAUUGGCAUUUCAGUCUGGAGUAGAUAAAGAGGAAGACAAGAAAGAGCGUCAAAAGCAGUACCUGAGACACAGAAGACUUUUCAUGGAUAUUGAAAGAGAACAAGUAAAAGAACAAAAAAGACAAAAGGAACAAAAGAAGAAAAUUGAAAAGUAAGUUCUUUGAUUUGAUCCUCAUUCUGAGUCUUAAAUUACCUGUUAA